GUGGGGAAUAUUGGACAAUGGGCGAAAGCCUGAUCCAGCCAUGCCGCGUGUGUGAAGAAGGUCUUCGGAUUGUAAAGCACUUUAAGUUGGGAGGAAGGGCAGUAAGUUAAUACCUUGCUGUUUUGACGUUACCGACAGAAUAAGCACCGGCUAACUUCGUGCCAGCAGCCGCGGUAAUACGAAGGGUGCAAGCGUUAAUCGGAAUUACUGGGCGUAAAGCGCGCGUAGGUGGUUUUGUAAGUUGGAGGUGAAAUCCACGGGCUGAACCUGGGAACUGCCUCCAAAACUGCAUGACUAGAGUACGGUAGAGUGUAGUGGAAUUUCCUGUGUAGCGGUUAAAUGCGUAGAUAUAGGAAGGAACACCAGUGGCGAAGGCGACUACCUGGACUGAUACUGACACUGAGGUGCGAAAGCGUGGGGAGCAAACAGGAUUAGAAACCCGUGUAGUCC
RNAcentral lists this ribosomal RNA (450 nucleotides) under uncultured bacterium. RNAcentral's name for it is "partial 16S ribosomal RNA". It matches the Rfam family "Bacterial small subunit ribosomal RNA", at positions 354 to 796 of the family's 1533-position model. The record is from RNAcentral.